AGAGGUCAGCAUAUAUAUCAACUCAUGGGAAAACUGAUCCCAGUUGUUACAUGGCAAGGGUAGCUGAAAGGUUUCUAAUGAGCUACAGGGAGGGGAUGGUGGCAAUCAGCCAGCACACUUGCCUGCGAAACCACCAUCAACGGGCACGCACUGCUACCUCUGGAGCAACGAAAAGUUAGAAGUGAAGAUUUGUAUUUCACUGUGCCACUUGUUGCUUACAGUUCUCACACUGACUCUGCAGAGUGUGUGAAAUCACACGCCAACACUCAGCACAAGUCACCCCACAUGCAAACGUAGGAGCAGUCUUUACCGGAGUCAUCCAAUGCAUACAAGUAAAGCACAAAUCCUGCUGUAUAGAGUCAUAUAGAGUACUUUAGGUUGGAAGGGGCCUUAAAGAACAUUGAGUUCCAACCCCUGCCGUGGGCAGGGCUGCCCCCCACCAGCUCAGGCUGCCCAGGGCCCCAUCCAACCUGGCCUUGAGUGCCUCCAGGGAUGGGGCACCACAGCUUCUCUGGACAGCUGUGCCAGCGCCUCACCGCCCUCCAAGGAAAGGAUUUCUGUAUAACAUCUAACCUAAAUCUCCCCUCUUGCAGUUUAAAGCUAUACCUCCUUGUCUUAUCAGACUUAAACUGUAAAACAUCGUUCCUCCUUCUGCUUCUAAGUUCCCUUCAAGCACACAGGAUUCCUAUCUAACAAAGAGGCUUACUUCUAGUCAUCUAGCCUCAAGAAAACCUAAGUUGUGAGGCUGCCCUGGAUUCACAGAGAAGCGCAUGCACACAUGUACCCAAGGCUGCUGCAAGCUUCUGCAGCCCCAGAGCCCAGGGAGGGCUCACAGGGUGCAUGAGACUCCCCUGGGGAUGCAGCAGGGCUGACUCAGGGCUGGCUGCAGCCUGCUCGGUCCACAACUGUCAUUGUGGCGCAACAACACUGCAAGAGCUUAAUGCUGUGGGAUUGCUUCCUUUUUCAAUGACUGGGAUCAAGGAGACACAUUUUAUUCAAGAAAUAUAAUCCUAACACCUCCUCUCAUUCUUUUGAAAGAAACCACACAGUAGCUGCUGUCAUCUUCUUGGUACAUUCUGACAUGCUUCCACCACACCACUGCCAAUGGUUUCCCUUUUAUUGGAAAAAAAUCAGUUCAAAAUGAGUGACAAGCUGUACACUGGUGAUGAUGCUGCCAGGUGAUGGACAUCGUAGGUUUACAUUAGUUGUCAACAUUUCUCAACGCUAAAAAUAGGACUCACAAGCUUUUCGUUUCACCACACUGAAGUAUUAAGCAUACAGGACAUUCACGUCUUCAAAGGGGCCCUAAGCUGCCCAAAGCCAGGUAAAGCCCGUGACAUACAGCAAAAGUCUCUGAGCUUUAUUUAUUUUCAGAAGGAAAAAUCAGCACACUGCCAUAUGAAAUUUCAUUACAGCCCUGGCCAAAGUAAAGAUGUUGCUCACGUUACUCACAAUGUGAAAUAAAGCAACACAAUAUGGGAUGCAAACACAAACAAGGGAAGACAGAAAGGCAAGCUUAGAGGAGAAGAGCAAAGAAAAAAAAAAAAAAGGCAUCUUGGAAUCCCAGAUCGUGGUCCAGAACCCACUAAAAGCAAUGGCAGAGAUCUCCCCAGCACAGCAAAUUUCAGCCUAAGGUCUCUGGACACCUCCCUGGCGCCCAUGGAGGGAUGGCUCAGCACUCCUAGGAUGUACAGCUCUCUCCAUCCCAAAACAUUUAAUUGGUUUUCACCUAAGCUCCGAGGAGGCGAACAUAAGCAAUGUGGGAGGGAUGGGAAGGCCCAAGAGAAGCAAGAAGGUUGCUGAAGGCUGACGUUUCUAUACAAGCGAUGACUUCUCCCCCCAAAAGGGACCUGCUGAUGGAAAUAAGCAUUGCAGCAAGCUGUCCAGCAGCAAGGCAUCACUGGUUGCGCAUCUCCACGCCCUGGUAAGAUGGAAGGAGUGGGGCUCCAUCUGCUCUGCAUGCAACACAACUUCUGCACUGAAUGAGACUACUGAAAAGCCCUAGUCACAGCAAUGUCAUUUUCAUAGGUAAGAUGGCAUAGGAGGGGAAAAAGAAACAGAGAUCAUUUACAAACCAAAUCCUGUUUAUUCAUUCCAGCUUGCUUGUUCCAUCUGAGUCACCAAGACGACAGGCAGAGUUGUCCCUGUAUUAGGCCAAUAUUUAUAGCAGAAAGAAAAUGAAGCAUCAUAAGGAAUAACUAAUUAGAUGUUAACAUAACACUGUGUAGAACUGAAGUAGCAUCCCACUGUGCUUUAUAAAUAAUUAGCAAAUUAACUUUCAUAAUACCUCUGUGAGGCAAGUAUUUUACCCAUUCUCUACGUGGCCAAGCAGAGAGCAAGUGGUUUGCUCACGGCCACAGACCUUGAGCAGAGGCAGAGUUAUAGUUGAUGCCCUGGUACUGUCAUUAACACCAGCCCAGUAUAAAGCUCAACAGUACCAAAAUAACUUAAUUAAUUAAAAUGUCACAGCUGGCUCAAACCUACCAAAAUCCACGACGCUGCCUAAUGGCAGCCUCUGCCCCACCUCCAGCAAUGGCUCACCGUGCACACAAGGCCCUGUCAUGAGCUGGGAGAAGGGGGGCAGGAACCCAGGGGGGAAAACCACACCACCCGCAAUAGAUCCAAAGUAAACAACUCUGAGCAGCUUCCCCUUUCCUAGAUCCCCUUUCCAGGCGUAGCCAGGAGGCAAACGGGUAUGAAACUAAAAACAGUGACUGUAAACUUCCACAAACAUAACUGGCAUGACAGGAACCGCCCUCCCAACACAACUUUUUUUUUUAAAUGCCCAUUUAUUGAAUAAAAUCAUCAUCUUUGGUGAUUCCAAACACUUUAAGGAGACUACAACAGCAACAGUGAUGCUGUUUGCACGCUCCUUUUUGCCACCCCUACCUCCAGUCCUCCCUGCAUAGGGGUGAUGGGCACAGCCAAAGCCAAGCCAGCUUCUCAACAACCACUCACUGUCAGGCAGUGGGAAUUGGAAAACCAUGGAAGGGAAGCAGCCGGCAUACAGGAUGGAUGGCAGAACAGACAGUCCCAGAGGUGCCCACAGGCACUUUGCUUCUCUGAGCUCUCCACGACAGUACUCUGAAAUUAAGGGUGCUCUUCCACAGCUGCCCACGCCACCCAAAGCAGGCAACAAGGCCAGCUCAGAAAGCUCCCACCGCUGCCCCAUGGCCCAGCUUUGCCAGUUGUUGCAGAGCAGAUGACGAGGUAGAUGCAGGCUAAAGGCAUUGUUUCUCAUUGUCUGGUGCCUCCCAUGACGUACUCGGAGACCCUCACAGAAAGAAACGGUACAGAAAUGUAAAUGGGUGCUAUUACUUUCUGUCAGAUGCAUGUUAAGAAAGUAGGCAGACCUGCAUCUAUUUUAGACACAAUGCAUAAAAAUAAAAGAUGCUAGCUGACUGUACGUGUUCUCAUUUUUAGAAAACAAGCUCUAUUUCUUUUUUUUUUUUCCUCUUUCCUAUCUUAACAGCCAGAUGGUAAACAAACUCCCCUCAAUGUCACAGCAAAGAAAAGAAACCCCAAUCUGGUGUGAACCUUACCGUAUCUGAGCACACUCCUGACAGUCUUUGCAUAUAGCCUGUCCAAAGCCCUCCGGUGUGAGCAGAGACCUUACCUUCAGACCCUGCUUAGAGGGUAAGCACCGCUGACUUCCACAUGGCAACUCAAAAUUAUCAACAUCACAGCAGGACUCGCCAUCCCCCAAACAUCUCUGAGAUUUCAGAUCAGCCAGUUUUAUGUCUUAGUGCCUUCCCUUUUUCUACCUUUCCCGUUGACUUGUUCGAGCUACUUUAGAGGUCUCCUUCCCCCUUAUAAAACCUCCUAUCAAGUCAUUUAAUUGAAAGGCAAUUUUAUCGGGCAGUAUGUGCUAUUUGUCUAUUCUUCCUUUUUAUACUCACCUUGUUCACUGCAAUGACACAGUAUCAGUAGACAGUAUUACUGUCUACUUGUUUGC
Long non-coding RNA from Gallus gallus (chicken), 3955 nucleotides. The record is from Ensembl. Lineage: Eukaryota; Metazoa; Chordata; Aves; Galliformes; Phasianidae.